This 370-nucleotide ribosomal RNA is filed under the name uncultured organism. RNAcentral describes it as "bacterial SSU rRNA". It matches the Rfam family "Bacterial small subunit ribosomal RNA", at positions 526 to 896 of the family's 1533-position model. The record is from RNAcentral.
CGUAGGGUGCGAGCGUUAAUCGGAAUUACUGGGCGUAAAGCGUGCGCAGGCGGUUUUGUAAGACAGAUGUGAAAUCCCGGGGCUCAACCUGGGACCUGCAUUUGUGACUGCAAGGCUAGAGUACGGUAGAGGGGGAUGGAAUUCCGCGUGUAGCAGUGAAAUGCGUAGAUAUGCGGAGGAACACCGAUGGCGAAGGCAAUCCCCUGGACCUGUACUGACGCUCAUGCACGAAAGCGUGGGGAGCAAACAGGAUUAGAUACCCUGGUAGUCCACGCCCUAAACGAUGUCAACUGGUUGUUGGGUCUUUACUGACUCAGUAACGAAGCUAACGCGUGAAGUUGACCGCCUGGGGAGUACGGCCGCAAGGUUG